RNAcentral lists this ribosomal RNA (274 nucleotides) under uncultured bacterium. RNAcentral describes it as "partial 16S ribosomal RNA". It matches the Rfam family "Archaeal small subunit ribosomal RNA", at positions 473 to 747 of the family's 1478-position model. The record is from RNAcentral.
AAACCAGCACCUCAAGUGGUCAGGAGGAUUAUUGGGCCUAAAGCAUCCGUAGCCUGCUUUGUAAGUUUUCGGUUAAAUCCAUAUGCUCAACAUAUGGGCUGCCGGGAAUACUGCACAGCUAGGGAGUGGGAGAGGUAGACGGUACUCGGUAGGAAGGGGUAAAAUCCUUUGAUCUAUUGAUGACCACCAGUGGCGAAGGCGGUCUACCAGAACACGUCCGACGGUGAGGGAUGAAAGCUGGGGGAGCAAACCGGAUUAGAAACCCCAGUAGUCC